CUGUUCACGAGCCGACAGUUUGUCAAAGAAGAAGAAACCACAUCCUCCCAAGCUCAGCAGGCGCGGAGAACAAAAUAUUUCUGGGGCGUUGGAGUUAUUUUCAGAUUUAUGAUGGGGACCUCAGGGAAAAGUGAGGAAAUAAUCAUCCUCAGUGAUGACGAAGAUGAUAAAGACACUUCCUGCCUCAUUGUGGAAGUGGAAGCUGUGAAGAAAACCGUUGGUGUUCUACCUGUAAGCCCCCAGGAUGAAGACCUGGUGGUCACCUUCUCCCGUCGGCCAGACGUGCUUCCUCACGCCCGUUACGACUGUCCCAUACACCCUUUUAUGCCUACAGAUUGUGAGAGGACUGCUCCCAUGGCCAAUAAUCAACUUAUUUGUGAUCAGUGCUUCUGCUAUGUCUGCGACAAGCUGGCGUCACUGUGUGGGAUGUGGUGCUGCAGUGGAGAGUGUCACUGCAACAGCCACAACAAAAGUGACUUCUGGAACGGCGUUAGGAACACGGCUCUGCUGGGGGAACUGCAGAGGUUCAAUCUCACCCUGUCAGAAGUCGACCAUCGUCUUCGUAAUGCAGACGCGAUGUUGCAAAGCUUUAGAGGCAAACUGUCGGCUCUGUUUUCCUCCAUUACGUUGGAUCAGGCGAUGCUGCCAGAUUACAACAUGAGCCAGCAGGACCUGAGCUCCAGGUAUGGACCUGUGGUUGAGUGUGUGACCCAGUUCCUGAAUAAAGCCGACAAACAGAACAGUCGGGCUGCGGCCAUCAUGCAACUUGGAGCUGCUGAAGAGUUUAUGAGACAUUUUCAAGUGUUGGGGUUCAUGGGUUCAUCUUCAGCUGCUACAACCUCUGAGACUAUAAUAAUGUUACUGCACAGAGUAAUAUCAUCAGUACAGAGACGUAUAGUAAUGGGUGACAUUACGCCAUUGUUUAUGCAAAAACUGCAAGCAUUUUACCAGAACAGGAUACAAUUCCCAGCUGACAUGAGGCAACUAAAAAACAGUCUGACCAUCCGACCCUGGCAGGACGUCCUGCUGGUGUCGGUGCUGAAGGGGCAGAAUGUGUCGGGCUUCCGGAAGGACAAGGGCAAGAAGGACGUCCUGCUAGAAACCAUUUCUGUGGUCCUGCUGAGAACUGAACUGCUCCAGCUUCAGUCCAGGUACAGAGAGUUGUGUCGGUACCUGCGAGUCGUCCUGACCGAUAACGUCACACUGUAUCAGCACAUCCAAGACCUCAUUCCUUUCUUCAAGUGUAAGUUGGGAGAGUUUGGGUCGGCAUUGGAAAGCCUCUUUCCCCCAGUCAACCCCCCCGCCUCCCGCUUCACUCCGGCCAUUUUCCUCCUCUACCUCCGGAUAUUUGAGACGGCGACGGCACCGAGGCUGACGGUCAGCCAGCUGGAGCAGCUCUGCUUCUCUGAGGCAUCCUGGGAACCAAUUAAAGAUGCUGUGCCACUGAAGACGUCAGAGCUGGUGAAGUUUGCUCUCAAAGCCCAGAGAUGCUCCUUGUCGGUCUACUCAGAUCCUGAAUGUUGGGCCAGUUUACUGAAAGUGGUCUGCUCUCCUCAUGGCUCUCCGACUGCCCUGCCUGUACCCAGCCAACAGUUUCUACACGAGUCGCGGGAUGCCGUCAUAGACCAGCUCAACCAGCAGGGUUACAACAUACAGAUUUCCCGCUGCUUUCUCAGGACAUACCCAGAUCAGGCCUUGUUGCUGUUGGUAACAGGAGCCUUGGGUGUCAGAAUCCUUCAGGGUUCUUUUAGUCCAGCUCUGCCUGUUCUCAGUGCUUAUAAGGACAACCUGUGGGCCUUUCAGUGGCUGUGUGAUGGCAUGACGUCCAGUGAAGACCGUCUCCUCUCCUUCCUGAAGGAGAUCACACAGGAGUCGUCAAACACACCAGGUAUCAGGACAUGUUGUCCCUUUUCAAAUUCUGAGCUUGUGUUUUCACAGUGAGAGCUCAGAUCUGCUCGGCCUGCAGACUUGAAUCUUCCUGCUCUGAUCUGAACCUGCUUCUGUUUGUGAAUACAACCUGCACUCAGAUUUGUUCUGUCUCCUGGUGAACUCUUGUGAGCGCACCAAUAAGGGCAGCAACGUCACCAUCAUGGUCUUACUGUUACCAAGCUGAGUGGCCAUUUUUUCUGGGAGGGGGCAGAGAAAAAACACACCUGGGUGGUUCCAUCCCACGGUGAAUAUAAAGGCCAAAGUAAUGAAUUCCAACAGCAGAAGAGGCAUUAUUAUUUAUUGAAUUGAAUUGAAGUGUAUCAGGCAAUUCCACAGCCAAGCAGCUACAUCAACAGGUGUGAGGCAAAGUGCCUGAUGCAGCACAGUAACAUCAGAGCAGCGGGACUUGUUGGGGUCAGCCUGGCCUGGAGGAACCUGACUGACCUCAAUCAGUCCUGGAGAUCUUUGGGAUGAAUUCAAGUAGAGAUGGUGAGCACUUCUGGAAUAUUGGUCAGUUAUUCCCAGAAACAUUCCUAAACCUUGUGGAAAGGUUUAGGAAUGUCACUCAGGUUUUCUAUGUGUGAAGGCAGACCGGCCGACUUUCAGCUUUCUUGUUUUUAAGAAGGAGUAAAAUAAGGAGCCUUGCUCUCAAAGUGAAAUUUUUGUUUGGAAGAAAAAUAUUAUGCGUUAUUCAGCUGUACAGUUUAUAAAAAGGCAAAAAGAAGUGAAUCAGGUUCUGUUUCAGCCUGCUUGUGUUCUUUUCCCCAAUAAUCUCUUUUCUUUUUCUUUUAACUCUGCAGAAAAUCAGCUGGUCGUUGAUUUCAAGCCCUUCCACGUAAAGUUUCCUUCAGAGGUUCAGCUCUGAAGCUCUAAAGUCUCACCUGGAUGAUCUUGCCUGUGCUAAGCCCACUUCCGAAAAGGACUGUUUUGUUUUUUUUGUUUUUAUCUCAAUGUGAAGCCAUGUGGAACUUUUGUUGUAUUUCUUGCUUACUUUAAGCACCAUGACAGUAACGCUGAGCCAACAGUAAGAUUCUGCUGUCAUGUGCUUUACAUUUGAACCUCUGUCUGCGGCGCAGUGGAUGGUAGGAAUGUGCCUCAGGUGACACACAGGGAGAGAACUCUUUACUCUUUCACACUUUUGUUACCAUUUAUUAAACUAAACAAUUCCCUCAAUUCUCUUCAUGUAAUUUAAUGAAACGGGUUUUUGAUGCGCUGUACAAUAACACUGGUUUUAGAUUAUAACAUAUGAUGCUUUAUACCGUUUGAAAAUCAGUCAACUAUUUAAAAAACAAUUUAGACAAAGCUUAAAAUAUAACUUUAGAAAUUAACUUUAGAACAAACUAAUACUGAAAUUAAAAGUUCCAAUGCAGGUCUGACUUGCAGACAUGCACAGCAAAAAGAACAGUUCAGAUGGAAAAAUAAUUAUUUUCAUACUUUAUUUUCUCUCAUUAAUGUAUUCAUCCAUUUGACUGUUUGUUUUUUCUACUUUCAUAUUUAAAACCUUGCUCCACGGUGUACAGUUGUAUUAAAUCUACUUUAAAGAUCAACUAAAUAUUUGCUGAGUGCUGCUAAAGUGGACAUGAAUUCUGUUUCUGUUUCUGUCUAAUGAUUUUCUUUCAUGUUCAUAAGGACUCAUACUGCCAUCAGUGUUGAUUUCUGAGAUAAUCUGGUUUAAUAAAUGACUCCAGUGUUUGGC
This is a non-coding RNA of Poecilia reticulata (guppy), 3625 nucleotides long. The record is from RefSeq and is a predicted model, not a curated record. Lineage: Eukaryota; Metazoa; Chordata; Actinopteri; Cyprinodontiformes; Poeciliidae.